This is a long non-coding RNA of Armigeres subalbatus, 595 nucleotides long. RefSeq lists it as uncharacterized. The transcript is spliced from 3 exons. NCBI's taxonomy places the organism in Eukaryota, Metazoa, Arthropoda, Insecta, Diptera, Culicidae. The record is from RefSeq and is a predicted model, not a curated record.
AAGUGAUCGAAUUAUUAUUGUAUUGUUUUUAAAUUAUCAUCAGAUCCCGCGUAUACGAAUUCGAUCCGAAACAUUUUUUUUUAAAGUUUGGAUUGCGACGUCUGCAGCGGCAAGGGUUGAUAUUCUGUUAGCUUCCUCGAGAUAAAGAAUCAAGCCAUGACCGUUUCCGCAAUUUGUUUGGUUCUGGAGCACUUUCAUGCUGCCCGCUCCCCUUUUUUGUUAUUCAUGAUGAAAUUCACUGCUCACCUACAUCGAACGCUCGUGCAUUUACUAGCAGUGUACUCAGAUAAUUUACUAGCGGUGGCGAAGACUUACAUACCGAAUAAAAGCGGAGCGCCAGGCUGCUUAGGGUGGAAAAUCGCAAGCGAUUGUAUGCAGCGAAUCAAAAUAAAUUGGCGGCGAUAUAGAAAAUCACCGAAGAUGUUCUCCUAGUAUUUCGAAAUUGCCAUGUCUUCCGCAUUCCAGCACCAGGCAGAAGCGCAGUAUUGACUCCAGCGCAGAGAUACUCACAACGGCAACAGUUCUUAAUUUAAAAGUUCAUAGUUUUCGUUGGAAACAGCAUGUCUUUUAAUAAAACUUCCAUUUCAAUGUUGAU